This 6321-nucleotide long non-coding RNA is filed under the name Sorghum bicolor (sorghum). RNAcentral describes it as "long non-coding RNA (SBIC_LNC010308)". The record is from RNAcentral. Lineage: Eukaryota; Viridiplantae; Streptophyta; Magnoliopsida; Poales; Poaceae.
UUGGCAUUCUAACUAUCAUCUUGAAAUUAAUUUAACUAUUGUUGCUAUAACUCUAUAAUAUGGUUGGGGACAGGUUUACAUGUAACUACUGCCUCCACUCACAAAGAGUAAGACACUGAUACAAACACAAGACAUAGCAUUCACUACUAAUCUGUUAUGACCGGCAACACCUAUACAAGGCGAGAUAGGGCAACUAGUGGCUGAUUAGGGGGGGUCUGUGCUGCGCACAGUUGCCCAGCCAAGGUAGCAACAGACUUUUAGAAGUCUUAGUUAUUUGUAGAAGUCCUAGUUAUUUAAUUCUAUUUACAGAGAGUUAUUAGAUAGAGUUUGUUGGGAACUCAGAUUUCCUUAUCCUAUUAUGUAAAAGAUUAUAAGAGUUCAACUCGGUUAAUGAAAAGGGCUUAGCCCAGGAUUGAGAUUAUAUCUCCCUAGGGCGCCUGGCGCCUCCUCCCUCCUCAGCUUUCGCAUCUACAGCUCCCAGCCACGGCUCCAGCUCGCCGACGCCUGCUGCGCUCUCACCUGCCUGCAUCUCCUCCCUACUUCCUUCACAGCAAGACGCGCCGUAACAAUGGUAUCAGACUCCAUGGUGACCUCGGGGGACUCCUCAGCGACGGCCCCUCCACCCACCACUGCGCCUCCUGCCGCGGCCCCCCUGGUGCCUCACUGCCGCUGGUCCAGGCCUCCGGCACCAUGGUGCCCGCCGGGUCGGCCGCGCCUCCUGCUGUCACCGCGGCGGAGGCCCUCCAAGCCCUGACGGCGGCCAUCACCGGUCUCCAGCUUCAGAUGACGGCCAUCAACCACCAGCUGGCCAACCAGGGCGCGCGACUAUCGGCGCUCGACGGUCGGCCCGCCCUGCCGCAGUUCGGGUUGCCGGGGUUUGGCAGCCUGUCCGCCUUACCAGCGUCCUCGGCCCCGGCGAUCUCUGAGAUACUAGCGGCGGUCGACUCCGCCGGGAUUGCCUUGUCGACCGCCCCGCUGUCGUCCCCGGCGACGUAGGUCUCGUGGCUCCCUCCCCCACCACACCCGUGGGGGGUGCCAAUCCACAAGAUCAGCUUUCCGCACUCGCCAUCGCCGGUGCCCUCGUUUUCGUCGGUCAUGCAGCCCCUGCCCCAGGCGCCGACUGCGCACAUGUCGGCGGCAGCCCCGUACCACACCUCCCCUUCGCCGGAGUGGGAGGGUAACGCGGUGCCCAGGUACCAUAAGCUCACGUUCCCUGUCUACGAGGGCGCGGAGGACCCGCUCGGGUGGCUCAACACAUGCGAGCAGUUCUUCCGCGGCCAACGGACGCGGGAGGCCGACAAGGUGUGGCUGGCCUCAUACCACCUCAAGGGCGUAGCACAGCAGUGGUUCCUAGUCCUGGAGAGCGACAUCGGCCGACCAUCCUGGCCUGAGUUUCGCCGCUACUGUCAGGAACAUUUCGGGCCAGCUCGCAGCACCAACCACCUCUCAGAGUUGGCCUGACUUCCGUUCGGGGCGUCGGUGGACGCCUAUAUGGCGGCGUUCUAGGCCCGUGCGGCGCACGCGGGCGAACUGUCCUCGCUGCAAAAGGCUCGGCUCUUCAUUGGGGGACUACCAGAAUAUAUUCGCAUCGACGUCGAGCUUCAGAAGCCCCGGGACUUGCAGCACGCAUUGCGGUUGGCGCAUGCUUAUGAGCGGCGCAACGUAUUCCUCCUCCCGCGACCAGUACGUCGCGCGGCGAGCGGACUGGCGCCCCUACCACCUCCCACUGCAUCGAGCGGCCAGACCUCGUCAGCUUCGUCCGCGGCCCGUUCGUUCAAGCGGCUCUCACCGGAAGAGAUGGCUGAGCGCCGUAAGAUGGGACUCUGUUACAACUGCGACGAACCGUAUGCCCGAGGGCAUAAGUGCGCCCGGCUGUUCUAUCUGGAGGCCUCGGACUACAUUGUUGAGGAGCCGGACGACACUGCCGACGACAUCGCGGACGAGACCCCACUGACACCGACACCCUUUGACCCGGAGACCCCCAUGAUUUCUCUGUCUGCAAUCACAGGGAUCCAGGCCUAGGAAACGAUGCAGCUCCGCGUCGUCUGCGCUGGCCAGGAAUUCACAGCGCUGACUCCGGCUCGACACACAAUUUCAUCAACGAGCUGGCUGCACACCGCGCUGGUGUUCGCUUCCUGGACAGUGCCGGUGCCCACGUGGUGGUUGCUAACGGCGACCGCGUGGCCUGCCGCGGUGUCGCCAGGGAGGUGCCCAUACAGAUCGGCAAGGAGUCCUUCGCCGUGGAUUGCUUCUCCAUCCCGUUGACCGACUACGACAUGGUCCUCGGCAUCGCGUGGCUGCGCACCCUUGGCCCCAUUCUCUGAGAUUUUGACGGCCUCACGAUGCAGUUCACCCGCCGUGGCCGCAAGGUGCUGUGGUGUCAGGAGUUGGACCACAGCGCCCUGCUCCGUCCAGCAGGUUGUACUCCGGCACCACGGUAGCGACCAAGGGGUCUGAGCCCGAGCUACUGGAACGCCUCCUGGAAUCUUACUCCAACCUAUUCGCACCACCUACAGGCCUUCCACCAGCACGGACCUGCGAUCACCGAAUCCACCUCAAGGGGGGGACGGACCCGUCGCUGUUCGUCCUUAUCGCUACCCGCAGCUCCAAAAUGAUGAACUGGAGCGUCAAUGCGAGGAGAUGUUGCGUCAGGGCACGGUGCGCGCCAGCACGUCACCCUUUUCUGCGCCAGUGCUGCUGGUUAAGAAAAGUGAUGGCUCGUGGCGCUUUUGUGUUGAUUAUCGGACCCUCAACGCCGCCACGGUCAAGGAUAAAUUUCCCAUCCCCGUUGUCGAAGAACUUUUGGAUGAACUCCAUGGGGCGAAGCUCUUUACCAAGCUUGAUCUGCGUUCGGGAUAUCACCAAGUUCGUGUGCACCCGGAUGAUGUUGCCAAGACAGCGUUCCGCACCCACCAUGGCCACUUCGAAUUUUUGGUCAUGCCCUUCGGGUUGUCUAAUGCUCCCUCGACGUUACAGGCACUUAUGAACCUCGUCCUCAAGCCUUUCCUCCGCCGCUGCGUCUUGGUGUUCUUCGACGACAUCCUCGUCUACAGCUCGUCUUGGACGGAGCACUUGCAGCAGCUGCGCGCUGUCCUCGACGUCCUUCGUGCCCAUCAGCUGCACUUAAAGAAGUCAAAGUGCUCCUUUGCAAUGCCAACUGUCCAGUACCUCUGCCACGUCAUCUCUCACGAAGGCGUUGCCAUGGAUACUUCCAAGGUGGCUGCAGUUCAGUCCUGGCCGCAGCCCCGGUCUGCGCGUGGUCUUCGCGGCUUCCUAGGCCUCGCUGGGUACUACCGGCGAUUCAUAAAGGAGUACGGUGCCAUUGCUGCACCCCUGACCAACCUGCUCAGGAAAAACGCAUUCCAGUGGUCCAUGGAAGCUGAGGCGGCAUUUGCCAAUUUAAAGUCGGCGCUCUCGGCGGCACCUGUUCUCCACCUUCCUAACUUUGGCCGGGAGUUCUUAAUCGACUGUGAUGCGUCCGGCUCGGGCUUUGGGGCGGUUCUCCACCAAGGCGAAGGGCCCAUAGCGUUCUUCAGCCGACCGUUUGCUGCACGUCAUCUCAAAGUGGCAGCAUAUGAGCGGGAGUUGAUCGGCCUUGUGCAGGCCGUCCGUCACUGGUGACCUUAUCUUUGGGGCCGUUCCUUUGUCGUCCGCACCGAUCAUUAUGCGUUGAAGUUCCUGCUCGAUCAGCGCCUAUCAACCAUUCCCCAACAUCAGUGGCUCAGUAAGUUGAUUGGAUAUGAUUUCAGGGUGGAAUAUCGGCCGGGGCGCUUCAAUGUGGUGGCUGAUGCACUGUCCCGAUGUGAUGGUGAUUCUCCGCUGCUGGUUGCGCUGCCCUGCGAGGAGCUGUCCAGCGCUGCAGUUUCCGUUCCCACCUUCCAGCUCUUCUCCGACAUACGCCAUGAGCUCGCUGCGUCCGACGACCUGAGGACGUUCCGGGAUGCAGUGGCAGCCGGCGAUCAUGGUGGGGACUGGGUUGUCCAGGACGGGCUGCUCCUCCAUAAAGGGCGCGUGUUCGUUCCGCCCUCAUCGGCCGUCCUCGACGAUGUGCUCCAGUUGGCGCACACUGGGGCGCAUGAAGGGAUCCAGAAGACGUUGCAACGACUUCGCUCCGAGUUCUUCCUCGAACAUGAUCGCAGCGUCGUCCGCGACUUCGUCCGCUCCUGUGCGACUUGCCAACGCAACAAGACGGACACCUUGCACCCGGCGGGUCUUCUGCAGCCUCUGCCGGUGCCAUCACGCGUUUGGGCAGAUAUUGCCAUGGAUUUUGUGGAAGCCUUGCCCAAGGUCCAUGGUAAAAGUGUCAUCCUCACCGUCGUUGACAGGUUUUCGAAGUACGUCCACUUCAUCCCUUUGGGUCACCCGUACACGGCGUCCUCCGUUGCCCACUCUUUCUUCCACAACAUUGUUCGGCUCCACGGCUUCCCCGACUCCAUCGUCAGUGACCGAGAUCCUGUCUUCACCGGCCAUGUUUGGCGGGAUUUGUUUCGCCAAGCCGGUGUUCAGCUCCGGAUGAGUACAACGUUCCACCCUCAAACGGACAGACAGUCUGAAGCGGUGAACAAGACGAUUGCGAUGUAUCUUCGAUGCCUCACCGGUGACCGCCCCCGUGAUUGGCUAGAAUGGCUUCCUUGGGCGGAGUACUGCUACAACACCGCCUACCAUUCUGCCCUUCGGACGUCGCCGUUCACUGUCGUUUAUGGACGCGCCCCUCCGGAGCUCUUGCCAUACUCUUCAGGGAGUGCCAGAACAGAUGUCAUCGACGCGCUGCUGUCUGAUCGAGAUGAGUUUCUUGCUGAAGUGCGCGCCCGCUUGCUGCAAGCACAGGAACACGCCCGGCGUUUCUACGACGCCAAGCAUCGUCCGUUGGAGUUCGCGGUUGGGGACUGGGUUUUUCUUCGACUCCUACGUCAUACCCAGUCCGUCGCUCCUGCCAGCAAGGGCAAGCUUGGGCCCAAGUAUGCUGGUCCGUUUUAGGUGCUGGCUCGCGUGGGCGAGGUGGCUUAUCGUCUACAGUUGCCAGAGGGGGCUCGGAUCCAUGAUGUGUUCCAUGUCGGGGUUCUUAAACCCUUCCGGGGGUCACCGCCAUCUUCACCGCCGGCCCUGCCUCCUCUUCGUCAUGGUCGCCCGCUACUUCAGCCCGAACGCAUUCUACGUUCUCGCCUCAGUCGUGGGGAAUGGCAAGUUCUAACCCAAUGGUCUGAUCUUCCCGUCUCUGAAGCUACAUGGGAGCCUAUGGAGGAUUUCCGCGCGGCAUAUCCGACGUUCCAGCUCGCAGAUGAGCUGUUUCCGAAGGACGGGAGAGAUGUUAUGACCAGCAACACCUAUACAAGGCGAGAUAGGGCAACUAGUGGCUGAUUAGGGGGGGUCUGUGCUGCGCACAGUUGCCCAGCCAAGGUAUCAACAGACUUUUAGAAGUCUUAGUUAUUUUUAGAAGUCCUAGUUAUUUAAUUCUAUUUACAGAGAGUUAUUAGAUAGAGUUUGUUGGGAACUCAGAUUUCCUUAUCCUAUUAUGUAAAAGACUAUAAGAGUUCAACUCGGUUAAUGAAAAGGGCUUAGCCCAGGAUUGAGAUUAUAUCUCCCUAGGGCGCCUGGCGCCUCCUCCCUCCUCAGCUUUCGCAUCUACAGCUCCCAGCCACGGCUCCAGCUCGACGACGCCUGCUGCGCUCUCACCUGCCUGCAUCUCCUCCCUACUUCCUUCGCAGCAAGACGCGCCGUAACAUAAUCUGUACUAUAUUUACAAAUUGUACAUGAUUAUGAAAGACGAUCGGACAACAUAUCUUUACCAUUUUCAAAAGUUCAACCUCAAUUGACACAAACCAAUUGUUGAACGUGGAUAGGUUGAUUGCACGCAACCCAAAUUGUCAGAUUGCAGGUUUAUUUUCAAAAGUUCAAUCUCAAAUGUACACAAACCAAUUGAUGAGGCUGAUAGGUUGACUGCUUGCAGCCCAAAUUGUCACCCUAACAAUUCACUAUUUGGCCAAUGACAGUUAACCUGGUUUAUGUUCAUAAUGUAACAUAGAGAUUGUAGGACACCCCUGGUCUAAAAUUUGGAUAUGGUGGUGUUUCCUCAAACCUUAUACUCCCCCUUGUCUCUGAAAGCUUCAACUUCUAGUCAUCCUAAGUCAAACUUUUAAAACUUUGACCAAUUUUUUAGAAAAAAACACUAAGAUUUAUAAUACUAAAAUAAUACCAUUAGAUUUACCAUAUAAUAUAUUUUUAUAAGAUACUCUUUUAUGUCAUAGAUAUUGAUGCUCGUUUCUAUAAAGUUGGUCAAACUUAAAAAAGUUCAAAUGUCACGGAUUCUAGAGUUGAAGCUUU